RNAcentral lists this ribosomal RNA (411 nucleotides) under Actinomycetes bacterium. Its description in RNAcentral is "Actinobacteria bacterium partial 16S ribosomal RNA". It matches the Rfam family "Bacterial small subunit ribosomal RNA", at positions 355 to 776 of the family's 1533-position model. The record is from RNAcentral. Lineage: Bacteria; Bacillati; Actinomycetota; Actinomycetes.
UGGGGAAUAUUGCACAAUGGGCGCAAGCCUGAUGCAGCGACGCCGCGUGGGGGAUGACGGCCUUCGGGUUGUAAACUCCUUUCGCUAGGGACGAAGCUUUUUGUGACGGUACCUAGAUAAGAAGCACCGGCUAACUACGUGCCAGCAGCCGCGGUAAUACGUAGGGUGCGAGCGUUGUCCGGAAUUACUGGGCGUAAAGUGCUCGUAGGUGGUUUGUCGCGUCGUCUGUGAAAUUCCGGGGCUUAACUCCGGGCGUGCAGGCGAUACGGGCAUAACUUGAGUACUGUAGGGGUAACUGGAAUUCCUGGUGUAGCGGUGAAAUGCGCAGAUAUCAGGAGGAACACCGAUGGCGAAGGCAGGUUACUGGGCAGUUACUGACGCUGAGGAGCGAAAGCAUGGGUAGCGAACAGG